Molecule: ribosomal RNA, 471 nt
Filed under: uncultured bacterium
Lineage: Bacteria
Description: partial 16S ribosomal RNA
Rfam family: Bacterial small subunit ribosomal RNA
Source: RNAcentral
GACGAACGCUGGCGGCGUGCUUAACACAUGCAAGUCGAACGAUGAAGCCUAGCUUUUGUGGUGGCUUAGUGGGGAGCGAGUGAGUAAUACACGCGUGACCUAUCUUUCACUCUGCGGUAAACCUCGGGAACAAGGGCUAAUACAGACUACAUCCAAUCUCCGCACACGGUGUUGGUGGAAAACGUUAUGUGGUGGUUAUAGAUGGGCUCACGGCCUAUCAGCUUGUUGGGGAGGUAACGGCUCACCAAGGCGACGACGGGUAGCCGGGCUGAGAGGGUGACCGGCCACACUGGGACUGAGAAACGGCCCAGACUCCUACGGGAGGCAGCAGUGGGGAAUAUUGCACAAUGGGCGGAAGCCUGAUGCAGCGACGCCGCGUGGGGGAUGACGGCCUUCGGGUUGUAAACCUCUGUUGGCAGGGAAGAAGAGAAAGUGACGGUAACUGCAGAGAAAGCGCCGGCUAACUACGUG